RNAcentral lists this ribosomal RNA (253 nucleotides) under uncultured bacterium. RNAcentral's name for it is "partial 16S ribosomal RNA". It matches the Rfam family "Bacterial small subunit ribosomal RNA", at positions 524 to 776 of the family's 1533-position model. The record is from RNAcentral.
UACGAAGGGGGCUAGCGUUGCUCGGAAUCACUGGGCGUAAAGGGUGCGUAGGCGGCUUUUUAAGUCAGGGGUGAAAUCCUGGAGCUCAACUCCAGAACUGCCUUUGAUACUGGGAAGCUUGAGUCCGGAAGAGGUGAGUGGAACUCCGAGUGUAGAGGUGAAAUUCGUAGAUAUUCGGAAGAACACCAGUGGCGAAGGCGGCUCACUGGUCCGGUACUGACGCUGAGGUGCGAAAGCGUGGGGAGCAAACAGG